Molecule: ribosomal RNA, 433 nt
Filed under: uncultured bacterium
Lineage: Bacteria
Description: partial 16S ribosomal RNA
Rfam family: Bacterial small subunit ribosomal RNA
Source: RNAcentral
AACGAACGCUGGCGGCAUGCCUAACACAUGCAAGUCGAACGAGACCUUCGGGUCUAGUGGCGCACGGGUGCGUAACGCGUGGGAACCUGCCCUUAGGUUCGGAAUAACUCCCCGAAAGGGGUGCUAAUACCGGAUAAUGUCUUCGGACCAAAGAUUUAUCGCCUUUGGAUGGGCCCGCGUUGGAUUAGCUAGUUGGUAGGGUAAAAGCCUACCAAGGCGACGAUCCAUAGCUGGUCUGAGAGGAUGAUCAGCCACACUGGGACUGGGACACGGCCCAGACUCCUACGGGAGGCAGCAGUGGGGAAUAUUGGAAAAUGGGCGGAAGCCUGAUCCAGCAAUGCCGCGUGAGUGAUGAAGGCCUUAGGGUUGUAAAGCUCUUUUACCCGGGAUGAUAAUGACAGUACCGGGAGAAUAAGCCCCGGCUAACUCCGUG